RNAcentral lists this ribosomal RNA (253 nucleotides) under uncultured bacterium. Its description in RNAcentral is "partial 16S ribosomal RNA". It matches the Rfam family "Bacterial small subunit ribosomal RNA", at positions 524 to 776 of the family's 1533-position model. The record is from RNAcentral.
UACGAGUGGUGCAAACGUUAUUCGGAAUCACUGGGCUUAAAGGGUGCGUAGGCGGCUACGAAAGUCAGGUGUGAAAUCCCUCGGCUCAACCGAGGAACUACGCUUGAAACUUCGUGGCUUGAGGAAGACAGAGGUGAGCGGAACUGAUGGUGGAGCGGUGAAAUGCGUUGAUAUCAUCAGGAACACCGGUGGCGAAGGCGGCUCACUGGGUCUUAUCUGACGCUGAUGCACGAAAGCCAGGGGAGCAAACGGG